GGGUCGGUAGCUCAGCAUGGUAGAGCAGCGGACUUUUAAUCCGUUGGUCGCGAGUUCAAAUCUUGCUCGGCCCA
This 74-nucleotide transfer RNA is filed under the name Candidatus Aenigmatarchaeota archaeon. Its description in RNAcentral is "tRNA-Lys". It matches the Rfam family "tRNA". From Rfam's summary of the family: Transfer RNA (tRNA) molecules are approximately 80 nucleotides in length. Lineage: Archaea; Nanobdellati; Candidatus Aenigmatarchaeota. The record is from RNAcentral.